Molecule: ribosomal RNA, 406 nt
Filed under: uncultured bacterium
Lineage: Bacteria
Description: partial 16S ribosomal RNA
Rfam family: Bacterial small subunit ribosomal RNA
Source: RNAcentral
AUUGAACGCUGGCGGCAGGCCUAACACAUGCAAGUCGAACGUGUGACGGACGGGUGCGGAAUGUCUGGGAAACUGCCCGUUAGCGGGGGAUAACUACUGGAAACGGUAUCUAAUCCCGCAUACCCUCGUAUGUGCCCCGAUGGGAUUAGCUGGUAGGUGGGGUAACGGCUCACCUAGGCGACGAUCCCUAGCUGGUCUGAGAGGAUGACCAGCCACACUGGAACUGAGACACGGUCCAGACUCCUACGGGAGGCAGCAGUGGGGAAUAUUGCACAAUGGGCGCAAGCCUGAUGCAGCCAUGCCGCGUGUAUGAAGAAGGCCUUCGGGUUGUAAAGCACUUUCAGCGGGGAGGCGUUACCCGCAGAAGAAGCACCGGCUAACUCCGUGCCAGCAGCCGCGGUAAUUC